Molecule: ribosomal RNA, 465 nt
Filed under: uncultured bacterium
Lineage: Bacteria
Description: partial 16S ribosomal RNA
Rfam family: Bacterial small subunit ribosomal RNA
Source: RNAcentral
CCUACGGGUGGCAGCAGUGGGGAAUUUUGCGCAAUGCUCGUAAGAGUGACGCAGCCACGCCGCGUGAAUGACGAAGGCCUUCCGGUCGUUAAAUUCUUUCUACCGGGUAGCAAAUGCCUAUACGUAACUGUGUAUGUGUUUACGGUACCUGUAUGAGCAGCCCCGGCUAACUCCGUGCCAGCAGCCGCGGUAGUACGGAGGGGGCGUGCGUGGUUCGGAGGUGAUGGGCGUAAAGGGCACGUGGGGGGUGUUGUAAUGCAUUAGGUAAAGACUAGAGCUAAACUUUAGUAACGCUAUUGAUACGACAAUACUAGAGUAGGAGAGAGGAAUGCAGAAUUCGUGGUGUAGCGGUGAAAUGCGUAGAUAUCAGGAGGAAUUCCGUUAGCGAAGGCAGCAAACUGGCUGCAAACUGACGCUGAGGUGCGAAAGCGUGGGUAGCAAACAGGAUUAGAUACCCGAGUAGUC